AGUAGUUUGAUCAUGGCUCGAGGACGAACGCUGGCGGCGUGCUUCAUACAUGCAAGUCGAACGAUAAGGCGCCUUCGGGCGUACAUAAGUGGCGGACGGGUGAGUAAAAUGUAGAGAAUCUGCCCUUGAGAGGGGGACAACGGUUGGAAACGGCCGCUAAUACCCCAUAUGAGCGUACCUGGAAUGGUAUUCUUGAAAACUCCGGUGCUCAGGGAUGAGUCUGCAUCUGAUUAGCUAGUUGGGGGUGUAAUGGACCACCAAGGCGAUGAUCAGUAGCUGGUUUGAGAGGAUGAUCAGCCACAAUGGGACUGAGACACGGCCCAUACUCC
Molecule: ribosomal RNA, 329 nt
Filed under: uncultured cyanobacterium
Lineage: Bacteria; Bacillati; Cyanobacteriota
Description: bacterial SSU rRNA
Rfam family: Bacterial small subunit ribosomal RNA
Source: RNAcentral